AUUUGCAUAGGAUUCUUCUGAGUGUGAACAUAUAUGUGCAUGGCAGAUUAAAUGAAUGGCUUCUUCGCAUUGAAGCCUGAAUCACAGGACAUGAGACAGUUCUUUCUAUAACUUUUUCUACUCUUUGCUGGAGCCAGCCAGACUGUAUGGAGUUAUGAAAUGGGGAAUUACCUUCUAGAUCACUUCCCUACUCCUGUGGGAUAAGGAGCACGGUGGACAUUAGAUGACUACAUUGCUAUUGGAGCUGAUGAAGAAGAAUUAGGAUCUCAAAUUGAGGAAGAUAUCCUUUGUGGCUAUAUGCAUAAUUGUUUAAUCUGUUAGAUUAAUUACAAAUUUUUCUUUCUGUAUAACA
Molecule: long non-coding RNA, 352 nt
Organism: Myotis davidii
Lineage: Eukaryota; Metazoa; Chordata; Mammalia; Chiroptera; Vespertilionidae
Exons: 2
Source: RefSeq, a predicted model, not a curated record